AUUGAACGCUGGCGGCGUGCUUAACACAUGCAAGUCGAGCGGUAAGGCCCUUUCGGGGGUACACGAGCGGCGAACGGGUGAGUAACACGUGGGUGACCUGCCCUCAGCUCUGGGAUAAGCCUGGGAAACCGGGUCUAAUACCGGAUAUGACUCCAUGACGCAUGUUGUGGGGUGGAAAGCCUUGUGCGGCUGAGGAUGGGCCCGCGGCCUAUCAGCUUGUUGGUGGGGUGANGGCCUACCAAGGCGACGACGGGUAGCCGGCCUGAGAGGGCGACCGGCCACACUGUGACUGAGACACGGCCCAGACUCCUACGGGAGGCAGCAGUGGGGAAUCUUGCGCAAUGGGCGAAAGCCUGACGCAGCGACGCCGCGUGAGGGAUGACGGCCUGGUU
RNAcentral lists this ribosomal RNA (392 nucleotides) under uncultured bacterium. RNAcentral describes it as "bacterial SSU rRNA". It matches the Rfam family "Bacterial small subunit ribosomal RNA", at positions 28 to 424 of the family's 1533-position model. The record is from RNAcentral.